Molecule: ribosomal RNA, 497 nt
Filed under: uncultured bacterium
Lineage: Bacteria
Description: partial 16S ribosomal RNA
Rfam family: Bacterial small subunit ribosomal RNA
Source: RNAcentral
GAUGAACGCUGGCGGCGUGCCUAAUACAUGCAAGUCGAGCGAACAGACGAGGAGCUUGCUCCUCUGACGUUAGCGGCGGACGGGUGAGUAACACGUGGAUAACCUACCUAUAAGACUGGGAUAACUUCGGGAAACCGGAGCUAAUACCGGAUAACAUAUUGAACCGCAUGGUUCAAUAGUGAAAGACGGUUUUGCUGUCACUUAUAGAUGGAUCCGCGCCGCAUUAGCUAGUUGGUAUGGUAACGGCUUACCAAGGCGACGAUGCGUAGCCGACCUGAGAGGGUGAUCGGCCACACUGGAACUGAGACACGGUCCAGACUCCUACGGGAGGCAGCAGUAGGGAAUCUUCCGCAAUGGGCGAAAGCCUGACGGAGCAACGCCGCGUGAGUGAUGAAGGUCUUCGGAUCGUAAAACUCUGUUAUUAGGGAAGAACAAAUGUGUAAGUAACUAUGCACGUCUUGACGGUACCUAAUCAGAAAGCCACGGCUAACUACGUG